UUUAUACGUCGAAUUUUGGUCGCGUCGAAUGCAAUUAAGACAAUAGAUAAUGAGAUGAUAAACCUCAUUCAGCUUCGUUAUCUAUUGUUUGAUUUGCAUUCGACGCGACCGAAAUUCGACGUAUAAA
This is a non-coding RNA of Paramuricea clavata, 127 nucleotides long. Lineage: Eukaryota; Metazoa; Cnidaria; Anthozoa; Malacalcyonacea; Plexauridae. The record is from the annotation of a GenBank genome assembly.